UUUUAUUUUUCAGUUCCUUAAAAUAACUAAUUUGUGGGAGAGAAUUUAAAAUAAAAAUAUAUAAAAAAAGGGGGAAGGAAGUAAGUUACUUUUUUGAUCCACACUCCAUUCCAGUUGGUGGCGGAAAUACACCAUUUUGUUGUUUGUCAACCGCCAAUAAAAUUUCAAGACGACGACGACGACAGUACAACCUGCAGUGGCUGAAACAUGGCCUUGCCCAUGUGCUCAGACUCGUCUUUGUUGAGAAACUUGUGUUUUAUGCUCAACUGAAAAAGGUCUUUUUUCUCUGGAGAAUUAUGGUGCUUGAUAUGAAGACUGUGGAGGAAGUUUAAAUAAUGUCCUUUUGUUCACAAAGAUCUUCAUUUCAUCGUUUACCCGUCGUCCUUGUACGGGACUUCCAAUUUUCCAUGAACUUUGGUAUUGAUUACUACAGGCACAUGGAUUAAAGGUGGCAGCUGUUUUGGACUCUUUGGCACAAGGAAUGGAAUUCAGAUAAGACUUUAUUCCCUCUCUCAUUCUUAACUCAUCAUCCAUGGACAGUGACAUGAUUUGGAUUCUACCUUUAAGUGUGCUUUUGUGUGUUUGUUUCUGGUGUGAUUUGGGGAGUUGUUUCAAAUUUUCUUACUGAAUAUAAAAGACUGGUUUUGCAUUGAAUAAGUGACUCUUGAUUAAUGCCUUGUUGGGAUAAACUAUUUUAAUGUGAUAGGUUACCUUAAAAAAUUGUAUAGCAGUUUUUUUGGGCUUAGUUAGGCCUGAGACUUAUAACGUGACUUUUACUAUGGUUUAUCAUGCAUGCAGAUUAUAUUUUAAGUUAAGCUAAAAUCAGUGAAUUCAUAAGACUGGUACAGUGCCUAUCAGAGGAUCUGUCUAUGAGCAGAUAUAUUAGGGAUCUGCUGAUAGACGCGGCUUUCAAAUGCUCCCGUGUGUAUCUGUGUAAGCAGGGCUGGGCAAUAUGACAAAUCUUAUAUCACGAUAUGAGUAAUUUUAUUUCACGAUAAUAUAUAUCAAGUUAUUUUUGCUUCAUAUAAGGUCAAUGAUAUCAAAAUGUUUGAUACCAUAGAAUAAUCAAUUAUCGUCACCAGUGUCAAUAUCACAAACAACUAAUGCUAGCCUAAAAAAUUAAAAAUAAAAAACAACUCACUGAAGACAAGUAAACAGUCAGCAAUUAAAUAAGCAUUAGAAACUAAUUACAGGCAAUGACGACAAAAAACUACAGUAGAACAAUUAAAUAAGAAAUCAGGGCUCACAAAAUCGCUAGCCCGACGUCCCGGGGCUAUUGUGUUUUCCAGUCGGGCUACCAAAAUGUAUCACUGCCCUGCCCGAAGGCACUUAAAAAUGUAUGUCACCAUGUUUAGUACAUUCCACUUGCACCUGUGUCUUUUGCAGCUUCUUGAACAUAACGUGGUGUAGUAAUGAGGUGCUAGUUCAAAUUUAAAAAAAUGAUUCUACAAACCAAGUUUCAUCUGCAGAUAUGGUCUUGUUUAGGGAUCUGUGCCUUUGUGCAUACGGACAUCUGACUGCUAAGUAGGGA
Molecule: long non-coding RNA, 1531 nt
Filed under: Sinocyclocheilus anshuiensis
Lineage: Eukaryota; Metazoa; Chordata; Actinopteri; Cypriniformes; Cyprinidae
Description: lncRNA (ENSSANG00000023444.1)
Source: RNAcentral